RNAcentral lists this ribosomal RNA (508 nucleotides) under Penicillium chrysogenum. RNAcentral's name for it is "eukaryotic LSU rRNA". The stretch from base 141 to 293 matches the Rfam family "5.8S ribosomal RNA". The record is from RNAcentral. Lineage: Eukaryota; Fungi; Ascomycota; Eurotiomycetes; Eurotiales; Aspergillaceae.
UGUUUAUUUUACCUUGUUGCUUCGGCGGGCCCGCCUUAACUGGCCGCCGGGGGGCUUACGUCCCCGGGCCCGCGCCCGCCGAAGACACCCUCGAACUCUGUCUGAAGAUUGUAGUCUGAGUGAAAAUAUAAAUUAUUUAAAACUUUCAACAACGGAUCUCUUGGUUCCGGCAUCGAUGAAGAACGCAGCGAAAUGCGAUACGUAAUGUGAAUUGCAAAUUCAGUGAAUCAUCGAGUCUUUGAACGCACAUUGCGCCCCCUGGUAUUCCGGGGGGCAUGCCUGUCCGAGCGUCAUUGCUGCCCUCAAGCACGGCUUGUGUGUUGGGCCCCGUCCUCCGAUCCCGGGGGACGGGCCCGAAAGGCAGCGGCGGCACCGCGUCCGGUCCUCGAGCGUAUGGGGCUUUGUCACCCGCUCUGUAGGCCCGGCCGGCGCUUGCCGAUCAACCCAAAUUUUUAUCCAGGUUGACCUCGGAUCAGGUAGGGAUACCCGCUGAACUUAAGCAUAUCAA